RNAcentral lists this long non-coding RNA (237 nucleotides) under Olea europaea subsp. europaea. The record is from RNAcentral. Lineage: Eukaryota; Viridiplantae; Streptophyta; Magnoliopsida; Lamiales; Oleaceae.
UAGGAUCAAGUUUUCAGGCUCGUGACUAGGGCUGGACAUGGUUCGGUUCGGUUCUAACGAGAACCGAACCGACCCGAAAUUUUCGGGUAUUUAGUAAGUGGAACCGUCGGGUCCAAAUUUAAUUACGGAACCGUUCGGGUUCGGUUCCAUUCGGUUCGAUUCGGUCUGAUUCGGUUCCAUUCGGUUCCGUAUUAUAAUUAAAUUUUUUAAUAUAUACAAAGUUACGUUAAUUUAAUU